Molecule: non-coding RNA, 28 nt
Filed under: Mus musculus (house mouse)
Lineage: Eukaryota; Metazoa; Chordata; Mammalia; Rodentia; Muridae
Source: RNAcentral
UAGCAUGGAUGGUGAGCUAGGAAAGCUA